CAGUCGCCGCGGGAAUACGUAGGUGGCAAGCGUUGUCCGGAAUUAUUGGGCGUAAAGGGCUCGCAGGCGGUUUCUUAAGUCUGAUGUGAAAGCCCCGGCUCAACCGGGGAGGGUCAUUGGAAACUGGGAAACUUGAGUGCAGAAGAGGAGAGUGGAAUUCCACGUGUAGCGGUGAAAUGCGUAGAGAUGUGGAGGAACACCAGUGGCGAAGGCGACUCUCUGGUCUGUAACUGACGCUGAGGAGCGAGAGCGUGGGGAGCGAACAGGAUUAGAUACCCCAGUAGUCCCUGUCUCUUAUACC
This 301-nucleotide ribosomal RNA is filed under the name uncultured bacterium. RNAcentral describes it as "partial 16S ribosomal RNA". It matches the Rfam family "Bacterial small subunit ribosomal RNA", at positions 509 to 808 of the family's 1533-position model. The record is from RNAcentral.